GGGAGUCAAGGAUGUAAUCAUUCCUGAGCUGAUGAAGAAACUAGAUAUCCUGGGGGAUAAUGGGAAUCUCAGAAAUGAGGAGCAGGUAGCGGUGAUUCAGGC
This is a long non-coding RNA of Micropterus dolomieu (smallmouth bass), 102 nucleotides long. RefSeq lists it as uncharacterized. The record is from RefSeq and is a predicted model, not a curated record. NCBI's taxonomy places the organism in Eukaryota, Metazoa, Chordata, Actinopteri, Centrarchiformes, Centrarchidae. The transcript has 3 exons.